GACGAACGCUGGCGGCGUGCUUAACACAUGCAAGUCGAACGGAAAGGCCCUGCUUUUGUGGGGUGCUCGAGUGGCGAACGGGUGAGUAACACGUGAGUAACCUGCCCUUGACUUUGGGAUAACUUCAGGAAACUGGGGCUAAUACCGGAUAGGAGCUCCUGCUGCAUGGUGGGGGUUGGAAAGUUUCGGCGGUUGGGGAUGGACUCGCGGCUUAUCAGCUUGUUGGUGGGGUAGUGGCUUACCAAGGCUUUGACGGGUAGCCGGCCUGAGAGGGUGACCGGCCACAUUGGGACUGAGAUACGGCCCAGACUCCUACGGGAGGCAGCAGUGGGGAAUAUUGCACAAUGGGCGGAAGCCUGAUGCAGCAACGCCGCGUGCGGGAUGACGGCCUUCGGGUUGUAAACCGCUUUCGCCUGUGACGAAGCGUGAGUGACGGUAAUGGGUAAAGAAGCACCGGCUAACUACGUGCCAGCAGCCGCGGUGAUACGUAGGGUGCGAGCGUUGUCCGGAUUUAUUGGGCGUAAAGGGCUCGUAGGUGGUUGAUCGCGUCGGAAGUGUAAUCUUGGGGCUUAACCCUGAGCGUGCUUUCGAUACGGGUUGACUUGAGGAAGGUAGGGGAGAAUGGAAUUCCUGGCGGAGCGGUGGAAUGCGCAGAUAUCAGGAGGAACACCAGUGGCGAAGGCGGUUCUCUGGGCCUUUCCUGACGCUGAGGAGCGAAAGCGUGGGGAGCGAACAGGCUUAGGUACCCUGGUAGUCCACGCUGUAAACGGUGGGUACUAGGUGUGGGGUCCAUUCCACGGGUUCCGUGCCGUAGCUAACGCUUUAAGUACCCCGCCUGGGGAGUACGGCCGCAAGGCUAAAACUCAAAGGAAUUGACGGGGCCCCGCACAAGCGGCGGAGCAUGCGGAUUAAUUCGAUGCAACGCGUAGAACCUUACCUGGGUUUGACAUGGAUCGGGAGUGCUCAGAGAUGGGUGUGCCUCUUUUGGGGUCGGUUCACAGGUGGUGCAUGGCUGUCGUCAGCUCGUGUCGUGAGAUGUUGGGUUAAGUCCCGCAACGAGCGCAACCCUUGUUCACUGUUGCCAGCACGUUAUGGUGGGGACUCAGUGGAGACCGCCGGGGUCAACUCGGAGGAAGGUGGGGAUGACGUCAAGUCAUCAUGCCCCUUAUGUCCAGGGCUUCACGCAUGCUACAAUGGCUGGUACAGAGAGUGGCGAGCCUGUGAGGGUGAGCGAAUCUCGGAAAGUCGGUCUCAGUUCGGAUUGGGGUCUGCAACUCGACCUCAUGAAGUCGGAGUCGCUAGUAAUCGCAGAUCAGCAACGCUGCGGUGAAUACGUUCCCGGGGCU
Molecule: ribosomal RNA, 1346 nt
Filed under: uncultured bacterium
Lineage: Bacteria
Description: partial 16S ribosomal RNA
Rfam family: Bacterial small subunit ribosomal RNA
Source: RNAcentral